UACAGAGGUCUCGAGCGUUAGGCGGAAUCACUGGGCUUAAAGCGUGUGUAGGCGGAUCGUUAAGUGCCUUGUGAAAUCCCACGGCUCAACCGUGGAACUGCUUGGCAUACUGGCGGUCUUUGAGCAACCUAGGGGCGAGCGGAACAAAUGGUGGAGCGGUGAAAUGCGUAGAUAUCAUUUGGAACGCCAAUGGUGAAAACAGCUCGCUGGGGGUUUGCUGACGCUGAGACACGAAAGCCAGGGGAGCAAACGGGG
This 255-nucleotide ribosomal RNA is filed under the name uncultured bacterium. RNAcentral's name for it is "partial 16S ribosomal RNA". It matches the Rfam family "Bacterial small subunit ribosomal RNA", at positions 524 to 777 of the family's 1533-position model. The record is from RNAcentral.